AACGGCCGUACCAUGCUGAAUAUACCGGUUCUCGUUAGAUCACCGAAGUUAAGCAUCAUUGGGCGCGGUCAGUACUUGGGUGGGUGACCUCCUGGGAACACUGCGUGCCGUU
RNAcentral lists this ribosomal RNA (112 nucleotides) under Caerostris darwini. Lineage: Eukaryota; Metazoa; Arthropoda; Arachnida; Araneae; Araneidae. The record is from RNAcentral.